This 561-nucleotide ribosomal RNA is filed under the name uncultured bacterium. RNAcentral's name for it is "bacterial SSU rRNA". It matches the Rfam family "Bacterial small subunit ribosomal RNA", at positions 11 to 561 of the family's 1533-position model. The record is from RNAcentral.
GUUUGAUCAUGGCUCAGAUUGAACGCUGGCGGCAGGCCUAACACAUGCAAGUCGAACGGUAGCACAGGGGAGCUUGCUCCCCGGGUGACGAGUGGCGGACGGGUGAGUAAUGCCUGGGAAACUGCCCGAUGGAGGGGGAUAACUACUGGAAACGGUAGCUAAUACCGCAUAACGUCUUCGGACCAAAGUGGGGGACCUUCGGGCCUCACACCAUCGGAUGUGCCCAGGUGGGAUUAGCUAGUAGGUGGGGUAACGGCUCACCUAGGCGACGAUCCCUAGCUGGUCUGAGAGGAUGACCAGCCACACUGGAACUGAGACACGGUCCAGACUCCUACGGGAGGCAGCAGUGGGGAAUAUUGCACAAUGGGCGCAAGCCUGAUGCAGCCAUGCCGCGUGUAUGAAGAAGGCCUUCGGGUUGUAAAGUACUUUCAGUGGGGAGGAAGGCGAUGAGGUUAAUAGCUUCGUCGAUUGACGUUACCCGCAGAAGAAGCACCGGCUAACUCCGUGCCAGCAGCCGCGGUAAUACGGAGGGUGCAAGCGUUAAUCGGAAUUACUGGGCGU